AACAACAUUUGAUGGGCUUGCUAUUCAGACAUUGAGUGGCCUUGCAGGAGAACUAGCCAGCCUGAAACUAGACGCCUCCCCACAACAACCCAUGGAAGCUGUGCCCGAACACGAGCGCCGCG
RNAcentral lists this unclassified non-coding RNA (122 nucleotides) under Lingula anatina. RNAcentral describes it as "glycogenin-1, transcript variant X1". The record is from RNAcentral. Lineage: Eukaryota; Metazoa; Brachiopoda; Lingulata; Lingulida; Lingulidae.